CUACGAAGCUUUUAUUUCAGCGUUAACAUAUUUUAAUACAGUAUAUUAUAUUAUAUUAUCAUCAAUAUAACGUGUUCCCGGUGAGAUUAUUUAUUGCAUAACUAGAUCUAUAUUUUCACGUGACCUAAAAAUUUUACAUGUUAAGAAAAACGGUAGAAAGUUUACAGAAUUAUUGAGAAAAUCUAUCGAUUAUAUUUGCGUUAAACUCGACUGUGAGUUGUAUUGCUCUCUAGUUUGAUGGAUGAAUAUUUAAGCCAUCUCCUAACCAUGCCCUCACCAUAUUAAUUUAUAAUUGAGACAGAGACGAAUGGGAAUUGCCGAAAAUCGAUAUCAAAUUUUUAUAGUAGUAAGCCGAGUUUGUAUACACGCAAUAGAUCUACGGGAAAAUAUCGAACAGAAAAUAUUAAUAAUAAUAAUAAUUUACACAAUACCAAGUUUGCACUAUCGUAACUCAGGGCAUUGUCAACUAUCGAUCCGUCCUGGAUAUAGAAUAAUUUGGUCGCUAAUAGACAGAUUCUGUGAAAGAAUUGAUGGCAUUAGUUUCCUUUUUCGUAACCCGUAAUUAUGGUAUGGAGAGUAAAUUAUAUGGCAUCACGAUAAUUGCUUGAUGUAUUGAAAUCUUUCUAAAGCAGAGCAUUGCACUAAAUGCUUCAAUGUUAAACGCGAGAUAUAAUUACAUUAAAUCCUUGUAGUGUGAUGUUUAAGUCAACUUCCAAUUUUGAUUUACCAAAAAUAAUUUAUUCGGAAUUUUUUGGCGUAGAAAAGGAAAAAAAAAAAAAUGGAGAAAUGAUUGUCUGACAAACUGGAAAUUGGUUAAAAAAAAUCGAGUAGUAACGAAUUUUUCAAGCACACUUGAACAAAAUUUCCAUGUCCCUCACAAUUAUAAUGCAAUGACAUCAUGAUUGUGAUGACUUGCAUUGCGUCAUCACCAGAUGAUGUCAUUAUUAACUGGUUUUGGUCUUAGUUGGAACUAGGGAGACUGACUAUGACUUUUUGUGGAAUCUUUUUUGUUUUCUAAUUGUCUGGUUAUCUGAAUCACAUUUUUUAACCUGAUUAACACUAUUAUACAUUUAUGUGAUUAAAAGUGGAAAACAGAAAUUAUGUUAAUUAUUUAACCAUGAUCUUAUUUAGAAAAAUAUGCUAAUUUUAAUAACUUAAAUACCAUAUUGUAAAUCAAACGAUAUGAAUCAUCACCGAAAAUUGUAUAGGCCUAAGUCUAAUUACAAAAACCAUCAAAUAUUUAAGUAAAAUAUUUAUAUCUAGAGAUACGAAAAGUAUGACUGAU
RNAcentral lists this long non-coding RNA (1285 nucleotides) under Androctonus crassicauda. The record is from RNAcentral. Lineage: Eukaryota; Metazoa; Arthropoda; Arachnida; Scorpiones; Buthidae.